UGUGCCUCCGCGCCAGGGGGGAUGAGAAUCCCCGACCGGGGUUCGACAACCGGCGACAGCCGGUUGGACAGACCACGAACGCAGUGAGAGGGCUGCCCGAAGGGCGAGCAAAGCGAGUCAAUCCCCCCUCACCGCCA
Molecule: non-coding RNA, 137 nt
Organism: Enterobacter cloacae S611
Lineage: Bacteria; Pseudomonadati; Pseudomonadota; Gammaproteobacteria; Enterobacterales; Enterobacteriaceae
Source: Rfam